ACUGCACACUGUUAAAGCUCAGGGAUGAGGCCAGUUUCUGACCAGUGACCUCUUGAGUGUCGGAAGUGUGCUACAGUGAAUGCAUGGCAAGAUGUUCGCUGACACCAGAAGAGGCUUCCCUCUGUGACUGGGGUUUGAUAGUAAUCACUGCCACAUGC
This 158-nucleotide small nucleolar RNA is filed under the name Pelusios castaneus (West African mud turtle). The record is from RNAcentral. Lineage: Eukaryota; Metazoa; Chordata; Testudines; Pelomedusidae.